AUAUGUUAUCUAGUGGCGGACGGGUGAGUAACACGUGGGUAACCUGCCUUAUGGAGGGGGAUAACAGAGAGAAAUCACUGCUAAUACCGCAUAAGCACACAUUGCCGCAUGGCAGAGUGUGAAAAGAUUUAUCGCCAUAAGAUGGACCCGCGUCUGAUUAGCCAGUUGGCAGGGUAAAAGCCUACCAAAGCAACGAUCAGUAGCCGAUCUGAGAGGAUGACCGGCCACAUUGGGACUGAGACACGGCCCAAACUCC
Molecule: ribosomal RNA, 256 nt
Filed under: uncultured Oribacterium sp.
Lineage: Bacteria; Bacillati; Bacillota; Clostridia; Lachnospirales; Lachnospiraceae
Description: partial 16S ribosomal RNA
Rfam family: Bacterial small subunit ribosomal RNA
Source: RNAcentral